Molecule: long non-coding RNA, 502 nt
Organism: Myzus persicae (green peach aphid)
Lineage: Eukaryota; Metazoa; Arthropoda; Insecta; Hemiptera; Aphididae
Exons: 2
Source: RefSeq, a predicted model, not a curated record
AUUGAUUUAAGUGUGCCUGAACUUAAAUAAUUUACCUAAGAAGAGGUGUGCAAUAAUAAUUUUCAAUCUCAAGCAUAUAUUAUUACGUGAUGUGCAACAAAUGGAUGGUAAAUAGGCAAUUCGAGUGUCACUGCCGUCAGUAGUUAGGUAAGUAGACGUAGACACUUAGGUGUGUCACACCUUAUUAAUUAUUAGUUAUUAUUUUAUUAAUAAUAGUAGGUAUCUAUAGCUUAUAGACAUACUUAUUACUUAAUACUCAUUCUCAAAAACAUUUUAGAGAUUUGGCGUCCUACGUCUUUAUUUAGACAUGUAAAUAGGUCGUUUGUGUUGUCUCCGUCUUACCAACAAGUAACAUGGAAAAUUUACGCUCAGCCAUAUAUUGCGCUCAGCAGAUCACGUUUAAUUCCGUUGGCUUAAAAAUUAGUGUGAAUCUACCUAUUAUGAAACUUGAUGGUAAGAUCAUUAUGUCUAUGUGUUCCAAUAUUAUGUUGGGUUUUAAUGA